Molecule: ribosomal RNA, 305 nt
Filed under: uncultured bacterium
Lineage: Bacteria
Description: bacterial SSU rRNA
Rfam family: Bacterial small subunit ribosomal RNA
Source: RNAcentral
UUACUCCUACGGGAGGCAGCAGUAGGGAAUCUUCCACAAUGGGCGAAAGCCUGAUGGAGCAACGCCGCGUGGGUGAAGAAGGUCUUCGGAUCGUAAAACCCUGUUGUUAGAGAAGAAAGUGCGUGGGAGUAACUGUUCACGUUUCGACGGUAUCUAACCAGAAAGCCACGGCUAACUACGUGCCAGCAGCCGCGGUAAUACGUAGGUGGCAAGCGUUAUCCGGAUUUAUUGGGCGUAAAGGGAACGCAGGCGGACUUUCAAGUCUGAUGUGAACGCCUUCGGCUUAACCGGAGUAGUGCAUUGGA